AUUGAACGCUGGCGGCAGGCUUAACACAUGCAAGUCGAGCGGAGAUGAGGUGCUUGCACCUUAUCUUAGCGGCGGACGGGUGAGUAAUGCUUAGGAAUCUGCCUAUUUGUGGGGGACAACAUUCCGAAAGGAAUGCUAAUACCGCAUACGUCCUACGGGAGAAAGCAAGGGAUCUUCGGACCUUGCGCUAAUAGAUGAGCCUAAGUCGGAUUAGCUCGUUGGUGGGGUAAAGGCCUACCAGGGCGACGAUCUGUAGCGGUUCUGAGAGGAGGAUCCGCCACACUGGGACUGAGACACGGCCCAGACUCCUACGGGAGGCAGCAGUGGGGAAUAUUGGACAAUGGGGGGAACCCUGAUCCAGCCAUGCCGCGUGUGUGAAGAAGGCCUUAUGGUUAUAAAGCACUUUAAGCGAGGAGGAGGCCACUGAGACUAAUACUCUUGGAUAGUGGACGUUACUCGCAGAAUAAGCACCGGCUAACUCUGUGCCAGCCGCCGCGGUAA
This 501-nucleotide ribosomal RNA is filed under the name uncultured bacterium. RNAcentral's name for it is "partial 16S ribosomal RNA". It matches the Rfam family "Bacterial small subunit ribosomal RNA", at positions 30 to 523 of the family's 1533-position model. The record is from RNAcentral.